Molecule: ribosomal RNA, 442 nt
Filed under: uncultured bacterium
Lineage: Bacteria
Description: partial 16S ribosomal RNA
Rfam family: Bacterial small subunit ribosomal RNA
Source: RNAcentral
CCUACGGGUGGCAGCAGUAGGGAAUCUUUCACAAUGGGCGAAAGCCUGAUGGAGCAACGCCGCGUGCAGGAUGAAGGCCUUCGGGUUGUAAACUGCUUUUAUAAGCGAGAAAUAUGAUGGUAACUUAUGAAUCAGGAUCGGCUAACUACGUGCCAGCAGCCGCGGUCAUACGUAGGAUCCGAGCAUUAUCCGGAGUUACUGGGUGUAAAGAGUUGCGUAGGUGGCAUAAUAAGUAGAUAGUGAAAUCUGGUGGCUCAACCAUUCAGACUAUUAGCUAAACUGUUAAGCUCGAGACCGUUAGGGGUAACUGGAAUUUCUAGUGUAGGAGUGAAAUCCGUAGAUAUUAGAAGGAACACCAAUAGCGUAGGCAGGUUGCUGGGACGGUUCUGACACUAAGGCACGAAAGCGUAGGGAGCAAACGGGAUUAGAUACCCUUGUAGUC